RNAcentral lists this long non-coding RNA (2107 nucleotides) under Schizosaccharomyces pombe (fission yeast). The record is from RNAcentral. Lineage: Eukaryota; Fungi; Ascomycota; Schizosaccharomycetes; Schizosaccharomycetales; Schizosaccharomycetaceae.
CAGGCAAUAUAUUUUUUAUUUCCAACGUCUAUAUGUGAAGCAUUAAUAUAAUCAGAACAUCCUUUUGGAACGGCUAGACGGACUCUUGUUUUAUCGUAGGGCACGAUAUCUGUGUAACGAUUUUUUCUUGAAAUGGAAGUGGAGCGGCUGGAAGCUAAACAGCACCAAUCAGAUUUACUGUCAUUAAACGCUAGGGAUCUAGUCAUUUCCAUUUCCUCAAGUCUUUUAAACUUAUAAAAAAUAGAAGCAGUAUUUAAAUCCGCAAGCACCUCACAAGGAGGAGGAGAAACCUUUUUGGCACCCCAGGGAUUACAAGUAAAGGGUCCUUUGUUUUCCUUGGAGAAAAUGCUUCCCUUGGUCUCUUUAUUAAAGCACGGUUUGUUAGCUCUUCUUAGACCGCCUGGUUUUGGAGCAUCUCGUGUGUUUGAUAAACCAACAGAUGGUUUAAGUUUGCUUGUCAUCGUACUAGUACCAUCAUUCUGUGCAUUGCUAUCACGUUUCAUUGACUUCCGUGGAAUAAUUUCCAAGGAAGCUUGAGACAAACUUGGAUUGACGACGUUGCUGGAUUUAACAUAGUUGCUAAAGCUACGAACGCGAGAAGCAGAAGGCCGUCUCUGAUUAUUCGAGGAGGGAUAAGAAGGCACCGAUCGUAGAGAUGGCCUGGCAGGAGUUUGCUGAGGGGCAUUGCCUACGAUAAAAAAGUUUUUCUGUUCAUCAGGCGUACUAGGACAAGAAGAUGCGCAAGAAAUGGCGGGAGAGAUUGGAAAAUAUGGCAUUUCAGCUUGAAAAGCUGAAUUUGGGGGAGAGAGGGGUGAACCAUAUAUAGAUUGGCACGAACGAACAGAAGAAGCAGUAGGAGAGUGAAUCGAAAACGGUGUUAAACCUGAAAAUCCAGGGUAUUCCGCAUGACUCGCGAACUCACUAAAGGUAUCGGAGACUACCGAAGGUGUGCAUAAAGGUGGUGGGAUGUUAAUAGGAACUCUCAAUGGAAAGCUAUAAUCUGGUGAAAUAGGGGUAGAAACCGCAGAUGGAUCGGAUAAAUGAAGGAUAUCCAGCUUGCAAUUCUCAUUGAUGUCAAUUUUGUAUGGGACCGACUCCUUGACCAUUUCGGUAGAGACAAUGGCGUCCGGAUGAGAGGAAGCAAAGGCUUCAAAUCCAUUGCUUAAUAAAUAAAUUUUUUUGGAAUAUCCACCACGUCGAAACUUCUGUACCAAAUCAUAAAUACGGUUCAUGCCAGCCAUGCUAGAGUCGUAUAGGAAUAUGGCAUUAAUUUCAUCCAACGAGACUUUUACGUUGCAUUUUAUACAGGCGAAAACCUUUCCAAUGUCAAAAGACGGACGACGUAACAACGCAGUUGGAAGAGAAACGUUGAUGGCAUUUUUUAUAUGGCUAACAGCAUAUUUGGAGUGCAGGCGCAAAUCAAUAAUCCAAGAAACGCUCUCGGUUUGUUCUUCAAAAGACUUAAGAGUAGAGUUAAAUUCGUCUUUAGACAGAAGAUGGAGCAUAGUAGCACAAAAUUUUUGAAAACACCUUGGAAGAUGUUAUAUCCUAAGUAAAAGGGACAGAGACAAGAUUGGCCAAGCUAAAAUAUAUAUACAGGAAACUUUUAAAAUGGCACACAAAUUAAAACGAAAAAAAAGAUAGCAGGCGAGUGUGAAGAGGUGUGCGGGUUAAGAGAAAUUUUUUGAGUUAUUUACAGUGUGCUUUCGGAAAAAAAGAAUAUAAACAAAAUGGAAACGUAAGAGAGAAGAAACUGUAUAAAAAUAACAAUUAUUGACUUUUUGCGAGUUCAAUCAAGGAGUCAAAAAUAUAAGACAAAGAAACUCCUGGGCGACGUGAACAAGGAUGAAUGAGGAAACUUGUUGAUUGAAAGAGACGAAAUCAAACAAGCAAAUAAAUAAAUUUUUAAUAAACAGAAAAUAAACAAAAUUAAAAGUUUUGUAUUCUUGGAUGAUGGUGGUUAAUUUUUUUGUGAUGAAAAGGAAAAACUGCAACUCGAUUUUCCCUUUGUAUUGCCUAUUGAUGUUGAACAGAGAAAAGCUCCUUUUUGUCAAAUAAAUAGAAGUCCGCGAAGUGGCGCUGGGAUAUAAAAUGCAAAAAAGAUAGA